This 73-nucleotide transfer RNA is filed under the name Culex quinquefasciatus (southern house mosquito). It matches the Rfam family "tRNA". Rfam says of the family: Transfer RNA (tRNA) molecules are approximately 80 nucleotides in length. Lineage: Eukaryota; Metazoa; Arthropoda; Insecta; Diptera; Culicidae. The record is from Rfam by way of RNAcentral.
GGGUUGGUGGUGUAAUGCUAAAACGUAAUUGCCUCUCACCACAGUUGGCCUGGGUUCAAUCCCAGUCGACCCC